Molecule: long non-coding RNA, 1181 nt
Organism: Panicum hallii
Lineage: Eukaryota; Viridiplantae; Streptophyta; Magnoliopsida; Poales; Poaceae
Exons: 2
Source: RefSeq, a predicted model, not a curated record
CCAAUUUUACCCCUCCUAUCUUCGGUCUCAUCCAGUCAACCACAUCUCAUCUCCUCCCAAAUCUCUCCGCCACGGCGUCCUUGCCUGGGCGCCGCUGCCCGCCGCUCGAGCGGGCCCGCGCUGCCGCCGAGCCACCGCCUAGCCGCUGCUCGAGCGCACCUGAGUGGCGGUACGCCAUCCCCGCGGGGCCAGCACUCCAGCGGACAGCCUGCCCGCCCGCGUCCCCACGCGCCACCUGCGCGCUGCUCGGGCCGUGGCCGCCUGCCCCCGCUCGCGCGCGGCCUGCUCGGAUCAAGUGGGCGCUACCCGCUGGGAGCCUCUGCCAAACGCUACGAGCCUGGGAUCGAGUGCGCCGCGGCGCGGCUGCGCGCGAACGCCUCGUCAUUCUCGCCGCCGCACACCGUCGUUCUUGCGGACAAGAAAUUUCCCGGCGUACCAUCCUUCCUCAGCGCUCUGUAGCAAGCAUGCUCGCAUGCAUCGGAAGCUAGCGCAAAUGAUGGCUCUGAUCUCCUCUUCUGUUUUCUCUCGUGCUGUGCUGUGUGCUGUUGGUGGGUUUAAUUUGGGGCGUCCCGUCGCUGCUGCAGACGGACAAGGCGUCACUGCUGGCUGAGGUGAUCGAGCACGUCAAGGAGCUGUAGCGGCAGACGUCGGCGGUGCUGGGCGCCGCAGGGGAGGGCGAGGGGGAGGCGGAGGAGGCGGCCGCGGCGCGGCAGCACCUGCUUCUGCCGACGGAGUCCGACGAGCUGGCGGUGGACGCAGAGGAGGACGGCGAGGUGUGGACGCAAGAGGAGGACGGCGAGGGGAGGCUCGUCGUGCGGGCGUCGCUGUGCUGCGAGGACCGCGCGGGGCUCAUCCUGGACAUCGCCCGCGGGCUCGCCGUGCUCCGCCUCCGCACGCGCCGAGAUCGCCGAGACCUGUUUUAACGGCGGUAAAACCAGAGGAGCAGCGUCUGCCCGCAGAAGUAGCAAGUAAUCAACACUGAGCUCUGAAACAACUUAACACACAGCAGCUCCUUAACUUGCACCGACUCAAAAUCAAAUAAAAGAAGGCCGCUCAUGUAUAAACCCUGAUUGAUGGUCGGUGCAGCCUCGGGUUCUUGCAGACAUGCAAGUGUAAGACAGGAACAAUAGAGAUCAAGCCCAGGUGAAUCUGGAGGCCUUUGGCUCUUUCUCUGCUUGAUA